GAUGAACGCUGGCGGCGUGCCUAAUACAUGCAAGUCGAGCGAACAGACGAGGAGCUUGCUCCUCUGACGUUAGCGGCGGACGGGUGAGUAACACGUGGAUAACCUACCUAUAAGACUGGGAUAACUUCGUGAAACCGGAGCUAAUACCGUAUAAUAUAUUGAACCGCAUGGUUCAAUAGUGAAAGACGGUUUUGCUGUCACUUAUAGAUGGAUCCGCGCCGCAUUAGCUAGUUGGUAAGGUAACGGCUUACCAAGGCAACGAUGCGUAGCCGACCUGAGAGGGUGAUCGGCCACACUGGAACUGAGACACGGUCCAGACUCCUACGGGAGGCAGCAGUAGGGAAUCUUCCGCAAUGGGCGAAAGCUUGACGGAGCAACGCCGCGUGAGUGAUGAAGGUCUUCGGAUCGUAAAACUCUGUUAUUAGGGAAGAACAAAUGUGUAAGUAACUAUGCACGUCUUGACGGUACCUAAUCAGAAAGCCACGGCUAACUACGUG
This 497-nucleotide ribosomal RNA is filed under the name uncultured bacterium. RNAcentral describes it as "partial 16S ribosomal RNA". It matches the Rfam family "Bacterial small subunit ribosomal RNA", at positions 28 to 507 of the family's 1533-position model. The record is from RNAcentral.